Sapajus apella (tufted capuchin) is the source of this 1949-nucleotide long non-coding RNA. RefSeq lists it as uncharacterized. The record is from RefSeq and is a predicted model, not a curated record. Lineage: Eukaryota; Metazoa; Chordata; Mammalia; Primates; Cebidae. The transcript has 3 exons.
UAUUUUUUUAAUAUUUGCAUCAUUUUGUUAUUUUUUUAAAACUCCAAAGUUGAAAAGAGUUAAGCAAAAAAAGAAAAAGAAAGCAUUUUAAAUAGAGGUUGUAUGAUUCAGUGGCUACACUCAGGUUGCGAUAAGCCCAGCUAGCAGGGGAACCCUUAGACAAACACCUGUGGCAGAUACACAAACAAUCUUUUAUUCAUUCUACUCAAAACGCCUUUUCAAUGGAUCACAUUAAGAUAGCAGCUCCAAAUUUUAUUUGGACUUCUCAGACAGAAUGAGAGAGAACAGGGGAGGAUAAGCACAAAUGCAGAUAAUCUGUCCAAGAAAAUUGUGAGAAUACACAAAAAAUAUUAAAUGGACAUAGUUCUGUAUUGCACUCAGAAGAACAGAAAGGAACUGCCUGAAGAGAUGAGACUCUGAAUCCUAUAAAGUCUCUUUACUACAAAGCAACACUGCUGGAUUUUCAUUCAUCCCAAAGUUUGGAGUUUGGAUUUGAGAAGAACCUUUUUUGAAAAAGACAAAGACCUGCAAUCGUCUAGACAGGAAGUGAUUACAAUACAAGCAAACAGUCUGACCGAGCCAUGGACGACGUAAAGAUACAAUCAGCUCUGUUCUGGAAGUGGUAAGGGAAGCAAUAACUAACAGGCAAAAAGAGGGCGGCUACAGGAGGGGCUGUGGACUAAAUACUGGGGAAAUGAGUGUAGCCUGGCUCUCCCAGAUCAGAUAAUGAAUCCACACCUGCACAUGUGUAAUCCACAUGCAACUGACUUCUCUCCACCCUCUCUGAGAUAGGCAUGAUCCCGUUUAGACGGGAGGAAGACUCCAGUGGGUGAAAUAACACUGCAAGACCAAGCUGGAGGUGGCAAAGCAGGGAUUCUCAACUCUUUCUACUCCAGCAUCAUGCCGUUCAAGGGGACGUCACAAAGACCAUCUACGCAGAAGACUGGACGACUAAGGAAAACACAGAAAGGGUGUAACUCCUACCAAACCAAACCAGGGAGUCUGAUGGCUACGUCACAGGCAUUUCAGAACAACCAAAGAAAGGAAAUGUGCAAAUAAAUUAACAAAAAGUAAAAUUCCUUCAUUUGGUACAUAUUUACAGAGCAGGGUAGCUGAAGCCAGCGCAUGAUGGCCUGACUGCUCCAAGGAUACAUCGGCCCUGCCCAGGAGUGCUUGGUGAUGAGCACUAGAGAAGGGCAAGUGACUUCUCUUGAAAAAACUGUUACAACUAUGCUGAAAUCCACACAGCAGAGAAGGUGAAUGAAUUAGCAACUCACCUCGCCACUCCACCGUAAUCCAAACCUUCUUCCCCACGGAAUUUCACCAUGAGCCGUUUUUUCAAAUCUUUCGGUCUCAUCUUCAUUAUCUGGCGGGUCUGGGCAGUGGCCCUGAACUCUCUACCUCGAAGAUUUCUUCUCUGGACACUUCGAUGCGGCAAUGACCAGCUUGGGGCUGCUGAAGGGACAGUUCGUGUCUCAGGACCUUCAGCUUCUGGACUAGAUCUCUUUCAUAUCUCUGGGCAGGAAGCUCCUCGUCCUCCACAGAGCCCUCGCUGGGCAGUGGCAGCGGCUGGCUGGGCUCCUUGAGUUGGCACUGGUGACUUGAGAAGAAGAGACACAGAAAGUCACUCCAAAGCCCCAGCCCAGAAAGCUGCAAGCACCCACAUACGCGACAGGGUUGGAGGAGAGAGCUUGCUGCAUGCAACUUCAGGCAGAAUUUGCUUCCCUGAUGACAUAACCAUGUACCUUGCUAGCUGUGUCAAAGUUGCUGAUGGCCACAGUAGCCCAAAUAUAGGUCUACAGUACAGUAAAGGAGGCACCCCAGGCCUGGCAUGGUAGCUUACACCUAUAAUCCCACCACCUGGGGAGGCCGAGGAGGGAGGAUCACCUGAAGUCAGGCAUUCAAGACCAGCCUGGCCAACAUGGCAAAACUGUGUCUCUACUAAAAAU